CUUGUACUCCCUCCAUCCGAAAAUACUUUUCAUUGAAAUGGAUGUAUCUAGAUGUAUUUUAGUUCUAGACACAUCCAUUUUGAUGACAAGUAAUUCCGGACGGAGGGAGUACUUG
Molecule: non-coding RNA, 115 nt
Organism: Triticum aestivum (bread wheat)
Lineage: Eukaryota; Viridiplantae; Streptophyta; Magnoliopsida; Poales; Poaceae
Source: Rfam